GACACACUCAGGUAACUCAGACACACUCAGGUAAACUCAGACACACUCAGGUAAACUCAGACACACUCAGGUAAACUCAGGUAACUCAGACACACUCAGAC
Scomber japonicus (chub mackerel) is the source of this 101-nucleotide long non-coding RNA. RefSeq lists it as uncharacterized. The record is from RefSeq and is a predicted model, not a curated record. The transcript has 3 exons. NCBI's taxonomy places the organism in Eukaryota, Metazoa, Chordata, Actinopteri, Scombriformes, Scombridae.